GAUGAACGCUAGCUACAGGCUUAACACAUGCAAGUCGAGGGGUAACGAGAGGAAAGCUUGCUUUCCUUGUCGACGACCGGCGCACGGGUGAGUAACGCGUAUCCAACCUGCCCCCAACUAAGGAAUAACCUUGCGAAAGUAAGACUAAUACCUUAUAAUUUCCUCAGAUGACAUCUGACGAGGAAUAAAGAUUUAUCGGUUGUGGAUGGGGAUGCGUCUGAUUAGCUUGUUGGCGGGGUAACGGCCCACCAAGGCAACGAUCAGUAGGGGUUCUGAGAGGAAGGUCCCCCACAUUGGAACUGAGACACGGUCCAAACUCCUACGGGAGGCAGCAGUGAGGAAUAUUGGUCAAUGGGCGAAAGCCUGAACCAGCCAAGUAGCGUGCAGGAUGACGGCCCUAUGGGUUGUAAACUGCUUUUAUACAGGAAUAAAGUUAGCCACGUGUGGUUAUUUGUAGGUACUGUAUGAAUAAGGACCGGCUAAUUCCGUGCCAGCAGCCGCCGCGG
This 506-nucleotide ribosomal RNA is filed under the name uncultured bacterium. RNAcentral's name for it is "partial 16S ribosomal RNA". It matches the Rfam family "Bacterial small subunit ribosomal RNA", at positions 28 to 523 of the family's 1533-position model. The record is from RNAcentral.